UAAAGAAAACGUCCGUCUCGACUCUCGCUUGACCUCGUAUUUGAGAGCUCUUGCUCCAAGCUGUUCUCUCAGUUAAGUCAGUGUUACAAGGUCGAAUAAGCAGAAUAACACACUAUAACAAUAGCGUCAUCACUACAUCACCAAUAACAUAAUGACCGUCACUGCGAGAACGAACACGGCGUCGAAGGCGAGGCAAAAA
Molecule: long non-coding RNA, 199 nt
Organism: Cydia amplana
Lineage: Eukaryota; Metazoa; Arthropoda; Insecta; Lepidoptera; Tortricidae
Exons: 2
Source: RefSeq, a predicted model, not a curated record